AUGAGAGCAUCCCAGGACCACUGAACAUUCAGAGGCGUGGUCUGACUCUUGGGGCCAGAGUUGCAUUGAUGGCACUUGAGAGACUAAUACAUAAUCCAGAGCUCCAAAUGUACACUGUGAAAUAAAACUGCCAAGACUAGGAGAGGAAAUUAUCUCCAGGAAAAAUGCCAUGCAUGACCAGGGUUAAUGAUAUGGAACACACCCCACAAAGAUGCUUUGCCUUUGGGUACCAGGACUUCAAAUCCUACACAAUGAAGGAGACUUGAAGACAUCGCCCAGAAGGUAGAGCUUCAAAUCCUGUUCUAGGGCCCAGAAGCAGAGACUCAGCCUGCCUGCACCCAGGUGAAAUAAACAGCAUUUUUGCUCACACAUAGCCUGUUUGGUGGUCUCUUCACAUGGAUGCGCAUGAAAUUUGGUGCUGUGACUCGGAUCCGGAGACCUCCCUUGGGAGAUAAAAUCCCCUGUCCUCCUGCUCUUUGCUCCGUGAAAAAGAUCCACCUACGACCUCAAGUCCUCAGACCCACCAGCCCAAGGAACAUCUCACCAAUUUUAAAUCAGCAAAAUGACAUGAAUGACUGAAAAAGCAUGUGGAGCACAAGACUCAAGAACUAAGUGAAAGGACUCACACUUCCUGAUUUCAAGUAAAGCUACAGCAAUCAAGACGUGGCAUUGAUGUAAGAAUAGACACAUCAAUGAAUGAAACAGAAUACAUCUUCCAGAAAUAAAUUCACACAAAUAUAGUCAAGAGGUUUUUUGUGUGCUAAAGUGUAUAUAAUAUUUACCAUUUUAACCAUUUUUAAGUGCACAGUUCAGAAGCAUUAAGAAUAAACAAUGUUGUAUAACCAUCACCAUUAUCCAGUUCCAGAAUUUUUCAUCACCUCACACAGAAACUCUGUACCUAUUAUCAACAAUAAAUUUUCAUUCCCCCCUUGCCCUCAGUCUCUGGUAACCACUAUUGAACUUUCUGUUUCUAUGAAUUUGCCCCUUCUCAGUGCCUAAUAUGAGUGGAAUAAUACAAUAUGGGUCCUUUGUGCCUAGUUUAUUUCACUUACUGUAAUGUUUUCAAGGUUCAUCCAUGUUAUAAUAUGGAUCAGAAUUUUAUUUCUUUUCAAGCAUGAAUAAUAGUCCAUGGUAUGUCUAUACCACAUUGUUUAUCCAUUCAUCAGCUGAUGGAUAUUUGGGGGUUGUUUCUAUCUUUUGGCUAUUGUAAAUGAUGAUGUUAUGAACAAUGGUGUAUAAUGUCUGUUUGAGCACUGCUUUGAAUUGUUUGGGGUAUAUACUUAGGAGCGGAAUUACUGGAUCAUAUGUCAAUUCUAUGUUUAAUUUUUGAGGAACUGUCGAGCUGUCUUUCACAGCAGCUGCAUAAUUUUACAUUCCCACCACAAUGCAUAAGAGCUUCAGUUUCUCAAAAUCUUUACCAACAUUUAUUUUUCUUUUUAAAAAUAUAUAAUAGCCAUACUAAUAGUAUAAAGUAAUAUUUCAUUGUGCAUUUGAUUUGCAUUUCCCUAAUGAUAACUGAUGUUGAGCAUCUUUUCACGUGCUUGUUGACCAUUUGUAUAUCUUCUUUUGAGAUAUGUCUAAUCAAGUCCUUUGUCCAUUUUUUAAUUGGGCUGGGUAUUAUUCUUCUGUUAUUGUUGAGUUGCAGGAGUUCUUUAUAUAUUCUGCAUAAAAGUUCCUUA
Molecule: long non-coding RNA, 1679 nt
Organism: Homo sapiens (human)
Lineage: Eukaryota; Metazoa; Chordata; Mammalia; Primates; Hominidae
Product: long intergenic non-protein coding RNA 836
Source: Ensembl